UCGCGUUUACUUCACGAGAUG
Non-coding RNA from Caenorhabditis elegans, 21 nucleotides. The record is from Ensembl. Lineage: Eukaryota; Metazoa; Nematoda; Chromadorea; Rhabditida; Rhabditidae.